RNAcentral lists this ribosomal RNA (524 nucleotides) under uncultured bacterium. RNAcentral's name for it is "partial 16S ribosomal RNA". It matches the Rfam family "Bacterial small subunit ribosomal RNA", at positions 28 to 523 of the family's 1533-position model. The record is from RNAcentral.
GACGAACGCUGGCGGCGUGCCUAAUACAUGCAAGUCGAACGAAGCUGUUUUAACUGGUGCUUGCACCGACUUAAACAACUGAGUGGCGAACGGGUGAGUAACACGUGGGUAACCUGCCCCAAAGCGGGGGAUAACAUUUGGAAACAGAUGCUAAUACCGCAUAACCACAGAAACCACAUGGUUUCUGUGUCAAAGAUGGUUUCGGCUACUACUUUGGGAUGCACCCGCGGCGUAUUAGCUAGUUGGUAAGGUAAUGGCUUACCAAGGCAAUGAUACGUAGCCGAACUGAGAGGUUGAUCGGCCACAUUGGGACUGAGACACGGCCCAAACUCCUACGGGAGGCAGCAGUAGGGAAUCUUCCACAAUGGACGAAAGUCUGAUGGAGCAACGCCGCGUGAGUGAAGAAGGUUUUCGGAUCGUAAAACUCUGUUGUCAGAGAAGAACGUGUGCGAGAGUAACUGCUCGCGCAGUGACGGUAUCUGGCCAGAAAGCCACGGCUAACUACGUGCCAGCAGCCGCCGCAG